This 752-nucleotide long non-coding RNA is filed under the name Cricetulus griseus (Chinese hamster). RNAcentral describes it as "lncRNA (ENSCGRG00015030384.1)". Lineage: Eukaryota; Metazoa; Chordata; Mammalia; Rodentia; Cricetidae. The record is from RNAcentral.
UUUAGACACCGAUUGAUGGAAAAAACAUCAACAGCUAUGUCAUUCACCCUCACCUCUCAGCUGGGACAGUUCAGAUGCAGCUGUGGAAGAGGAUGUUUCUCUAGUUCCGGGAAGCCUGCCUGAGAGCAUUGCACAUGCGGCAGGCACUGGUGGUACAAGCAUGUGAGUGCAGAUACCCUCCAGAAGAGGGUGUAAGUCCCUUGGAACUGGAGUUACAGGUGCUGGGAACUAAACUCCAGUCCUCGGUGAGAGUAGUGAGCAGGCUUAAAAGAUGAAGCAUUCCCCUUUCUGCCGACUCAUCACAGACCAGACCAGAGUCCUCAUCCAGUGGCUGAUGGAAGCAGAGACAGACAUCCACAGAAAUACACUGAGCUGAAAUCUGGAACCUAGUUGAAGAGAGGGAGGAAUGAAGAACGAAGGGGUCUGUACCAGGUUGGAGAAACCCACAGAAACAGUUGGCCUGAAAAAGGGAAAGCAUAUGGACCCCAGACGCUCUUUGGGAGGCCAGUACGGGACUAAUCCAGCCCCUGAUCAUGGAUGCCAAUGGGGAGGCCCCUGCACUCCUGGGAGCCUCCGGAGGUGGACUGGUGUUUUGCCCUGUUGUGUGUGGGGGACUUCAAGAGCCCAUCCCACUUGAAGGGAUGCACUCUGUCUCUGAACACAUAGGGAGGGACCUAGGCCCAGCACAGGAAGAUUUGGUGGACUUGAUGGAGCCCUGGUUGGGGGCCCUACCCUGCCUGGGGAGUGGUGGG